CAAAUCAGGUAGGACUACCCGCUGAACUUAAGCAUAUCAAUAAGCGGAGGAAAAGAAACUAACAAGGAUUCCCCUAGUAACUGCGAGUGAAGCGGGAAAAGCUCAAAUUUAAAAUCUGGCAGUCUUUGGCUGUCCGAGUUGUAAUCUAGAGAAGCAUUAUCCGCGCUGGAC
RNAcentral lists this ribosomal RNA (171 nucleotides) under Calonarius flavipallens. RNAcentral describes it as "Cortinarius flavipallens partial 28S ribosomal RNA". It matches the Rfam family "Eukaryotic large subunit ribosomal RNA", at positions 1 to 175 of the family's 3401-position model. Lineage: Eukaryota; Fungi; Basidiomycota; Agaricomycetes; Agaricales; Cortinariaceae. The record is from RNAcentral.